CAGUGGGGAAAGUCACAAUGGAGGGCCUGGGAUUCUGGACAAAGAGAUUCACAGUGUGAGCGAGAUUCAACGUGAGGGGCUUCCUCCACUGUGAGCUUUGAAAAUGGAGGGGCCAUGUGGCAAAGGAUAUGGCGGGCUCCAGGAAUUGAGAACAGCUCCACCCCACCUCCACCUGACAGCUGCCCAGGAACAAGGACUACAAUCCCACAACUGCCUGAAACUGAAUUCUGCCACCAAGCUCUGUAUAAGCUUGAAGGAGGACCCCAGCCUCAAGAUGAGGACACAGCUUCGUGAAAUCCUGAACUGAGAAUCAUUCACACCAGGCCUGGAUUUCUCAUUAAGGAAAUGUAGAGAAAUAAAUGGGUGCUGUGUAGAGCCAGUGAGUUAGUGGUAAUACGUUAUGCAGUAACAGAAAAUUCAUACAUAGACCA
RNAcentral lists this long non-coding RNA (431 nucleotides) under Pan troglodytes (chimpanzee). RNAcentral's name for it is "long non-coding RNA NONPTRT015088". The record is from RNAcentral. Lineage: Eukaryota; Metazoa; Chordata; Mammalia; Primates; Hominidae.